This 72-nucleotide transfer RNA is filed under the name Actinomycetes bacterium. RNAcentral describes it as "tRNA-Gly". It matches the Rfam family "tRNA". From Rfam's summary of the family: Transfer RNA (tRNA) molecules are approximately 80 nucleotides in length. RNAcentral also lists the same sequence under 4 other names. Lineage: Bacteria; Bacillati; Actinomycetota; Actinomycetes. The record is from RNAcentral.
GCGGGUGUAGUUCAACGGUUAGAACCUCAGUUUUCCAAACUGAAGAUGAGGGUUCGAUUCCCUCCACCCGCU